CUGGGCUUAAAGCGUGUGUAGGCGGGUCGUUAAGUACCUUGUGAAAUCCCACGGCUCACCCGUGGAACUGCUGGGUAUACUGGCGAUCUUGGGCCAACUAGGGGCAACUGGAACAAACGGUGGAGCGGUGAAAUGCGUAGAUAUCGUUUGGAACGCCAAAGGUGAAAACAGGUUGCUGGGGUUGUGCCGACGCUGAGACACGAAAGCCAGGGGAGCAAACGGGAUUAGAUACCCCGGUAGUCCUGGCCCUAAACGAUGUCCACUAGAUUGCGGCGCCUUUGACGGCAUCGCGGUCGAAGCAAAAGUGUUAAGUGGACCGCCUGGGAAGUACGGUCGCAAGGCUAAAACUCAAAGGAAUUGACGGGGGCUCACACAAGCGGUGGAGCAUGUGGUUCAAUUCGAAGCAACGCGCAGAACCUUACCUGGGUUUGACAUGCUAGGAUUAUCUCGAUGAAAGUCGAGUAGGCCCCGCAAGGGGUACAACUAGUACAGGUGCUGCAUGGCUGUCGUCAGCUCGUGUCGUGAGAUGUCGGGUUAAGUCCCUUAACGAGCGAAACCUUUACCCUUAGUUACCAGCGGGUUAUGCCGGGGACUCUAAGGGGACCGCCGGUGUCAAACCGGAGGAAGGUGGAGAUGACGUCAAGUCCUCAUGGCCUUUAUGCCCAGGGCCACACACGUGCUACAAUGGCGUACAUAAAGCGACCCUAAACCGCGAGGUCAUGGAAAUCGCAAAAAUUACGCCCCAGUUCAGAUCGGAGGCUGCAACUCGCCUCCGUGAAGUUGGAAUCGCUAGUAAUCGCGGAUCAGCUACGCCGCGGUGAAUGUGUUCCUGAGCCUUGUACACACCGCCCGUCAAGUCAUGGGAGCCGGGAAUGGCCGAAGUCGCCU
Molecule: ribosomal RNA, 888 nt
Filed under: uncultured bacterium
Lineage: Bacteria
Description: bacterial SSU rRNA
Rfam family: Bacterial small subunit ribosomal RNA
Source: RNAcentral